Molecule: ribosomal RNA, 504 nt
Filed under: uncultured bacterium
Lineage: Bacteria
Description: bacterial SSU rRNA
Rfam family: Bacterial small subunit ribosomal RNA
Source: RNAcentral
GAUUCUGGCUCAGGAUGAACGCUGGCGGCGUGCCUAACACAUGCAAGUCGAACGGACUUUAAAUUGAAUGAGACUUCGGUUGAAGGAUUUUAAAGUUAGUGGCGGACGGGUGAGUAACGCGUGGAGAACCUGCCCUGUACAGGGGGAUAACAACCAGAAAUGGCUGCUAAAACCGCAUAAGCGCACAGUACCGCAUGGUACAGUGUGAAAAACUCCGGUGGUACAGGAUGGCUCCGCGUUGGAUUAGCCAGUUGGCGGGGUAACGGCCCACCAAAGCGACGAUCCAUAGCCGGCCUGAGAGGGUGGACGGCCACAUUGGGACUGAGACACGGCCCAGACUCCUACGGGAGGCAGCAGUGGGGAAUAUUGCACAAUGGGGGGAACCCUGAUGCCAGCGACGCCGCGUGAAGGAAGAAGUAUCUCGGUAUGUAAACUUCUAUCAGCAGGGAAGAAAAUGACGGUACCUGACUAAGAAGCCCCGGCUAACUACGUGCCAGCCGCUGC